AUCAACUUUCGAUGGUAGGAUAGAGGCCUACCAUGGUGGUAACGGGUAACGGGGUGUUAGGGCACGACACCGGAGAUGGAGCCUGAGAAACGGCUACCACAUCCAAGGAUGGCAGCAGGCGCGCAAAUUACCCAAUCCCGACACGGGGAGGUAGUGACAAUAAAUAACAAUACGGGGUUCUUUAGGAUCUUGUAAUUGGAAUGAGUACAAUUUAAAUCUCUUAACGAGGAACAAUUGGAGGGCAAGUCUGGUGCCAGCAGCCGCGGUAAUUCCAGCUCCAAUAGCGUAUAUUAAAGUUGUUGCAGUUAAAAAGCUCGUAGUUGAAUUUCGGGGUUAGUAGGUUGGUCAUGCCUCUGGUAUGUACUGGUCUCACUGAUUCCUCCUUCCUGAUGAACCGUAAUGCCAUUAAUUUGGUGUUGCGGGGAAUUUGGACUGUUACUUUGAAAAAAUUAGAGUGUUUAAAGCAAGCUAACGCUUGAAUACAUUAGCAUGGAAUAAUGAAAUAGGACGUUCGAUCCUAUUUUGUUGGUUUCUAGGAUUGACGUAAUGAUUAAUAGGGAUAGUUGGGGGCAUUAGUAUCCAAUUGUCAGAGGUGAAAUUCUUGGAUUUAUUGAAGACUAACUACUGCGAAAGCAUUUGCCAAGGAUGUUUUCAUUAAUCAAGAACGAAAGUUAGGGGAUCGAAGACGAUCAGAUACCGUCGUAGUCUUAACCAUAAACUAUGCCGACUAGGGAUCGGAUGAUGUUAAUUUUUUAAUGACUCAUUCGGCGCCUUACGGGAAACCAAAGUGUUUGGGUUC
This 799-nucleotide ribosomal RNA is filed under the name uncultured fungus. RNAcentral's name for it is "SSU rRNA". It matches the Rfam family "Eukaryotic small subunit ribosomal RNA", at positions 314 to 1114 of the family's 1831-position model. Lineage: Eukaryota; Fungi. The record is from RNAcentral.